Molecule: long non-coding RNA, 3364 nt
Organism: Syngnathus typhle (broad-nosed pipefish)
Lineage: Eukaryota; Metazoa; Chordata; Actinopteri; Syngnathiformes; Syngnathidae
Exons: 3
Source: RefSeq, a predicted model, not a curated record
CAAAGCUCAACUUGCUGUGGCUAAUCAAUCGCUUUACCUGCAGAGGGCCAAAGCGACCAUUGAGAUGAUGCUAUUUGUUAUUCCGACAAAUCACAUCCGCGAAAUCCGGUCAGCGUAUUCUGCCCGACGCAGCUGCUGCAGGCCAAUAUGUGUCCAGGGUCACCUUGGACGCAUUAGGAUUAAAUAUGAUGCUUCUCAGCUCGGAGAUUAAGCACCAUGUUGUCCAUAAGAUGACAGAAAGUGAAAGAAGUCGACAUACAAACAGAAUGAAGAUGCUGAUACAAAAAAGUAUGUGUCAAAUAUUUAAGCAUGGAUGCAUUACGUGUUCCAAUUAUGCAGGGUUCUUCUAUUCUCUUUUUGUAGGUGUACCAAACGAGGUGUGCAAAAUGUUCAAAAUAAUAGGUACACCCCAGUUCUUCCAACUUUCAACUCGUUUUAAUUUCACUUUAGAUCUCGAUGUGUUGAGAAUCAUCAAGAUGAGCCAUUGCAUGUCUACAGUGGCACAAUUAGGAUGUGAAUCAAAAUUAUCACAGUAGUGUAAAUAGAAGAAAAAAAAAACUUUGGAAUCGGAUAGCUUCUGAGGGGAAUUGGGCCUUGUAAUUAUGGAGGGAAAAAUCUGAUUUGUAUUGGAUGUCUGCCAGUGUGAGCGCAGCGCAAACGCACUGACACUCUGGAGUUUGCACAGAUAAGACUAAUAAACACAUUUUAAAAGACAUCCGCCGUUAAUCUACACGAAAGCGUUGACAAUUAAAUAUGGUGUAAAUAUGCUACAUUAGAGGUGUUCAUUAUUUAAUAUGCCAAAUAAUGUGGAUUCAUCAAAAUCAAUUGGAGGCGAAAGUAACAUUUAUUAUUUGUAUUUAGUCAUUCUUCUACAGGCGUUUGAAAUUUCUCUUGAGGGAAUUAUAUGGAGGAAAAUAAAUAUAUGGUAAAUGUACGAGUUGUUGCUCUUUGCCAACCACACUUCUGAAUAGACAGCCAACCACAUCCAUCGUAAUCUGUUUUUAAUUCUUCUUCAGAGUACAAGUCAUUUUACUAGUUUGAUGACAAUAACGUGUCACUUCUAAGUUGUGUGAAGAGUUUGGACCAGCGUGUAGACAAGUCAAACCCCUUAUGCUGCACCACCAUCUUGUUCUUCAGGCAACGCUGGAUCAAGUCAAGUUGCAUCUAUGCUUCCCAUGGAAAAAAAGCAUGAUAUCAGGUCAUCACCAUCAUGAACAUACAUGUACAUGCAGACAUGGGUACAUCCUAUGUCUUCGGUAAUCAACCAACUUGCGCUGUCUUCGUGUGGGAAAUACAAGCCGACCUUGGAGAGCCAAAGGCCUCGCCCUGUCACGAGGAUAUCGCCGCUGCCUGACCCGUGGGCUCAUCAACUUUACACUUCGUUGGCACUUUUGUUCUUAAAAUCGUUGUUCAUUAUUUUUCAAUUAAUUCCGACACAUGCAUCCAACUCAGCGUAUGAAUGAUGAUGCAUACAUUCUAGAAAGUUGAGCUGCCAGAGUCAAAAUGCUAAUGCUACGCUGCAAUAUGUCAUUCGUCCUUGUGCCCGCCUGGCCCGCAGCCCGACCGGGCCCAGCCCAACGGUGUCAGACCUGUCAGCUCGGCUCUCCUUCUCCAGAGUGGACCGUGACCCUGGCCAUGAUGACAGUGCAGCGCAAGAGAUUAUAGAGACCCUGAUAGUGCGCCGCGCCAGCGUUAUGCGCCCACUGCCCUUUUAACUCAAAAACACGGGCUGGCUUCCAGCUCUGUCCGCCCAGAUCACAUCUGCCCACUUGCCUGGCAAAGGAGCCAGCGCGAGAGUACGCUCCAAUCGAAAAGUGCUUUCCACUUCUGAUAAACCUGUCUUUUAGUAUCACGGUAAACAUUGCACUAUUCUUACUCGAGUCUCAACAUGUCAUAUUACGCAUUUUGGCACACUGUACAGGGAGUCUAUCAAGAAACAUCAUAGUUUAAUAGUUUUUAUAUAUAUUUAUUACUCUGUAAACCUUUUAUUUAUUACUCUUUAAAGUAGCAAAACCGUAGCAUGAUUCAGCGGAAGCAAUGUAUAUAUUCAUGGAAAAAUAAAUAAAUAUAGCACAUAAUCUCAUCUGCAAUCAUCCAAUUAUAGCCGGCCCUGCUGUCAUCUUACUUAAUUGCUCAAUUAAAUUGGCUUUAAUUGAAUUUCCCACUUGACUUUGGGGACUCUUUAAUGUCACCGGAUGGAAAGAGGAAAAAAAAUAAACCAGGCCCCGGGAUAAUGAGACUGAAGUCAAGUCAACGGAGGCGCGCCUCCCUCUCCUCCUGACUCCUUCGCAGUCGACAAACUCACUCCAGCGCACGUUGGUAAUUUCAUGUUUGAGAGAUUUUAACUGCAUGACGACGAAAUUUGACCACCACCCCAAAUGGAGACGCUCCAGUGGAGAAGACCAAGGCCAGAUUGCAGAGGCAGGACAGGAAAUUAGAUACUUUUACACACUUUCUCGGGCUUACAAACAUUAUCAAUCAAAGCUGGUGACGACCUUGUGUACACACUUGUAGAGAACACAAAGACCAUAAAAUAAUCGGCUUUGUGCAAUAGGGUCCAUUUAUCCACAAGGCAUGUGACUGAACGGAACUAUUUUUGGUUUUCUCUUUGCGUCACGACACAAGUCCUUGUACAAGUGCAGAACGUGUCAUGUUUUUGAGAAAGAGACAAAUCCGACACAUCACACAGCAGCAAGUGACGCAUAUGACUAUUGGACUCAUCUGUGGAACAUUUAUUAAAGCAGCAGUGACACAUGCAAGUGGGCGAGGGAGUCAAGAAUGUUAACCUACAGAAUGUGAAGUGACUGUUUGAGUCAUUGUGUCUUUCUAAGUCAUGUCCUUCUACAUCCAUUUGAAGUUGUUUACUUUUAAAAUUUGUCUUACAAGAUGUGAUGUCAUUAAAAAGGUCAAGCUGUGGCAGAAGUAAAAAAAAGCACAAUAAAAACAAUGAAACUAAAAACUAGCAAUGAUGUUCCUUUAACAUGAGCUAUGGAACACAAAAUCAGAAUACCAAAUCGCUACUUUUUGCACACGCUUUGAACCCUGCGGCUUAUAGUUCGGUGCGGCUUAUCAACAGUUUUUUUUGUGAUUUUUAUAAUAUUGUAUUAUUUGUGCAUAUUCUCUUAUAUGGAAAUCAAACAUUAAAACACCUGUCUCUCAUAGUCCAGUGCGGUUUAUAUAUGAACAAAACAGGAUUUUCCUCGAAUUUUAGCUGGCGCAUCUUAUUUUAUAGUCCAAAAAUGACGGUAAUUACAACUGCAAUCAGCGUAAUAGUGUUGUAUUUUCACUCGUUUGUGAUUUCUGCCAAUUCUGUCAGUCAAUGUGGAACCAGUCAAAUAAAUCCAAAUCAACCUUACAAUCCAUU